Molecule: long non-coding RNA, 289 nt
Filed under: Prunus persica (peach)
Lineage: Eukaryota; Viridiplantae; Streptophyta; Magnoliopsida; Rosales; Rosaceae
Description: long non-coding RNA (PPER_LNC002121)
Source: RNAcentral
GUCAACAAAGAACACGUAAGUGUCAGGAAUUAUAAUUCUUGAUGGAAACAAAGGUUCACUGAUAGUUUUUUGAUUGGUUUGUGACGCUUUUUAGUUGUCAACGCACAUUCCUUGACGACUAAUAACCCGUCAAGUUUGAGGGUACCUUUUAUUGACACUGGCACUCUUGACGCUUCUUGACCAGUCAAGAAAUGGUUAUGUUGACCCUUUUUAGCUGUCAACAAAGUGUGUUUUUCUUGUAGUGAAUAUAUGAGGUAAGCUUAUAUUCUAUAAUCCUAAAAAUAUCAAU